CCUACGGGCGGCAGCAGUGAGGAAUAUUGGUCAAUGGACGAGAGUCUGAACCAGCCAAGUAGCGUGAAGGAUGACUGCCCUAUGGGUUGUAAACUUCUUUUAUAUGGGAAUAAAACGUUCCACGUGUGGGAUUUUGUAUGUACCAUAUGAAUAAGGAUCGGCUAACUCCGUGCCAGCAGCCGCGUUAAUACGGAGGAUCCGAGCGUUAUCCGGAUUUAUUGGGUUUAAAGGGAGCGUAGGUGGAUUGUUAAGUCAGUUGUGAAAGUUUGCAGCUCAACCGUAAAAUUGCAGUUGAAACUGGCAGUCUUGAGUACAGUAGAGGUGGGCGGAAUUCGUGGUGUAGCGGUGAAAUGCUUAGAUAUCACGAAGAACUCCGAUUGCGAAGGCAGUUCACUGGACUGCAACUGACACUGAGGCUCGAAAGUGUGGGUAUCAAACAGGAUUAGAUACCCUUGUAGUC
RNAcentral lists this ribosomal RNA (460 nucleotides) under uncultured bacterium. Its description in RNAcentral is "partial 16S ribosomal RNA". It matches the Rfam family "Bacterial small subunit ribosomal RNA", at positions 338 to 795 of the family's 1533-position model. The record is from RNAcentral.